CCUACGGGAGGCAGCAGUGGGGAAUCUUGCGCAAUGGGCGCAAGCCUGACCCAGCAACGCCGCGUGCAGGAAGAAGGCUUUCGGGUUGUAAACUUCUUUUAUAAGCGACGAAGCAAGUGACGGUACCUGAGGAAUAAGCCACGGCGAACUACGUGCCAGCAGCCGGGGUAAUACGUAGGUGGCAAGCGUUAUCCGGCGUUAGUGGGUGUAAAGGGCGUGUAGGCGGGAAAGCAAGUCAGAUGUGAAAACGAUGGGCUCACCUUGUGGACUAUAUUUGAAACUGUUUUUCUUGAGUACUGGAGAGGCAGACGGAAUUUCUAGUGUAGCGGUGAAAUGCGUAGAUAUUAGGAGGAACACCAGUGGCGAAGGCGGUCUGCUGGACAGCAACUGACGCUGAGGCGCGAAAGCGUGGGGAGCAAACAGGAUUAGAUACCCGGGUAGUC
RNAcentral lists this ribosomal RNA (443 nucleotides) under uncultured bacterium. Its description in RNAcentral is "partial 16S ribosomal RNA". It matches the Rfam family "Bacterial small subunit ribosomal RNA", at positions 338 to 795 of the family's 1533-position model. The record is from RNAcentral.